UACGUAGGGGGCAAGCGUUGUCCGGAUUUAUUGGGCGUAAAGAGCGUGUAGGCGGUUAGGUAGGUCCGUUCUGAAAACUCGAGGCUCAACCUCGAGACGCGGAUGGAAACCAUCUAACUAGAGUCCGGAAGAGGAGAGUGGAAUUCCUGGUGUAGCGGUGAAAUGCGCAGAUAUCAGGAAGAACACCCGUGGCUAAGGCGGCUCUCUAGUACGGUACUGACGCUGAGACGCGAAAGCGUGGGGAGCGAACAGG
This 253-nucleotide ribosomal RNA is filed under the name uncultured bacterium. RNAcentral's name for it is "partial 16S ribosomal RNA". It matches the Rfam family "Bacterial small subunit ribosomal RNA", at positions 524 to 776 of the family's 1533-position model. The record is from RNAcentral.